RNAcentral lists this ribosomal RNA (301 nucleotides) under uncultured bacterium. Its description in RNAcentral is "partial 16S ribosomal RNA". It matches the Rfam family "Bacterial small subunit ribosomal RNA", at positions 509 to 807 of the family's 1533-position model. The record is from RNAcentral.
CAGUAGCCGCGGUAAUACAGAGGAUCCAAGCGUUAUCCGGAAUCAUUGGGUUUAAAGGGUCCGUAGGCGGUCUUGUAAGUCAGUGGUGAAAGCCCAUCGCUCAACGGUGGAACGGCCAUUGAUACUGCAGGACUUGAAUUAUUGGGAAGUAACUAGAAUAUGUAGUGUAGCGGUGAAAUGCUUAGAGAUUACAUGGAAUACCAAUUGCGAAGGCAGGUUACUACCAAUUGAUUGACGCUGAUGGACGAAAGCGUGGGUAGCGAACAGGAUUAGAUACCCCAGUAGUCCCUGUCUCUUAUAC